Molecule: transfer RNA, 75 nt
Filed under: Armatimonadota bacterium
Lineage: Bacteria; Bacillati; Armatimonadota
Description: Armatimonadetes bacterium (oil production facility metagenome) tRNA-Ala
Rfam family: tRNA
About the family: Transfer RNA (tRNA) molecules are approximately 80 nucleotides in length. Their secondary structure includes four short double-helical elements and three loops (D, anti-codon, and T loops). Further hydrogen bonds mediate the characteristic L-shaped molecular structure. tRNAs have two regions of fundamental functional importance: the anti-codon, which is responsible for specific mRNA codon recognition, and the 3' end, to which the tRNAs corresponding amino acid is attached (by aminoacyl-tRNA synthetases). tRNAs cope with the degeneracy of the genetic code in two manners: having more than one tRNA (with a specific anti-codon) for a particular amino acid; and 'wobble' base-pairing, i.e. permitting non-standard base-pairing at the 3rd anti-codon position.
Source: RNAcentral
GGGGCCGUAGCUCAGGGGGAGAGCGCUUCCUUGGCAUGGAAGAGGUCGCGGGUUCAAAUCCCGCCGGCUCCACCA